Molecule: non-coding RNA, 88 nt
Organism: Mycena leptocephala
Lineage: Eukaryota; Fungi; Basidiomycota; Agaricomycetes; Agaricales; Mycenaceae
Source: the annotation of a GenBank genome assembly
UCGGGCGUGGUGCGCAGUGCACAUCUGCUCAUCAUUGCCAGUUCAACAGGUGAUGCAGGAAGCCUGGGUUCGACUCCCGGCGUCCGAA